CCGAGCUUACAAGGCAGUUCCCUUGGCUGAUGAACAAGAUCAGCCGCACGCUGUCGCUGCCGUUCGGAUCACCCGCAGCCAACUUGGUUGAGGGUGGCAAGUCGCAGAAUCCGCCAGAGCU
This 121-nucleotide non-coding RNA is filed under the name Polarella glacialis. The record is from RNAcentral. Lineage: Eukaryota; Dinophyceae; Suessiales; Suessiaceae.